RNAcentral lists this ribosomal RNA (807 nucleotides) under uncultured Clostridia bacterium. RNAcentral's name for it is "bacterial SSU rRNA". It matches the Rfam family "Bacterial small subunit ribosomal RNA", at positions 59 to 883 of the family's 1533-position model. Lineage: Bacteria; Bacillati; Bacillota; Clostridia. The record is from RNAcentral.
CAGUCGAACGGAGAAUGCAGCAAUGUAUUCUUAGUGGCGGACGGGUGAGUAACGCGUGGGCAACCUGCCUUAAACAGGGGGAUAACACUGGGAAACUAGUGCUAAUACCGCAUGACACAGAGAAGUGGCAUCACUAUUCUGUCAAAGGAGUAAUCCGGUUUAAGAUGGGCCCGCGUCCGAUUAGCUAGUUGGUGGUGUAACGGACCACCAAGGCGACGAUCGGUAGCCGAACUGAGAGGUUGAUCGGCCACAUUGGGACUGAGAUACGGUCCAGACUCCUACGGGAGGCAGCAGUGGGGAAUAUUGCACAAUGGAGGAAACUCUGAUGCAGCAACGCCGCGUGAAGGAUGAAGGUCUUCGGAUUGUAAACUUCUUUGAUUGGGGACGAAUAAUGACGGUACCCAAGGAACAAGCCACGGCUAACUACGUGCCAGCAGCCGCGGUAAUACGUAGGUGGCGAGCGUUGUCCGGAAUUACUGGGUGUAAAGGGCGUGUAGGCGGGACUGUAAGUCAGAUGUGAAAUUCCAAGGCUUAACCUUGGCGCUGCAUCUGAAACUAUGGUUCUUGAGUGCUGGAGAGGAAAGCGGAAUUCCUAGUGUAGCGGUGAAAUGCGUAGAUAUUAGGAGGAACACCAGUGGCGAAGGCGGCUUUCUGGACAGUAACUGACGCUGAGGCGCGAAAGCGUGGGGAGCAAACAGGAUUAGAUACCCUGGUAGUCCUCGCUGUAAACGAUGGAUACUAGGUGUAGGAGGUAUCGACCCCUUCUGUGCCGGAGUUAACACAAUAAGUAUCCCACCUGGGGAGUAC